This is a long non-coding RNA of Salmo salar (Atlantic salmon), 810 nucleotides long. RefSeq lists it as uncharacterized. The record is from RefSeq and is a predicted model, not a curated record. NCBI's taxonomy places the organism in Eukaryota, Metazoa, Chordata, Actinopteri, Salmoniformes, Salmonidae.
GUAACAGCACAAAACAUGGUACAAACAUUAUUGGGCACAGACAACAGCACAAAGGGCAAGAUGGCAGAGACAACAAUACAUCACGCAAAGCAGCCACAACUGUCAGUGGUGUGUCCAGUGGUCAGUAAGGCAGCCAUAGGAUGCUACAACACUGAGACUUCGCCCCUGGACACUGAUCCGGUCUACGAAAAGUCAACCAGAGACUGGAGGGCUGUGGGGAGGCUGAGGAGGGCAGGCAAUGAUGCCGUUCUCAAGGAGAUGUCAUUUAUGUAGGAAGGGGGAGGUUGUUGUAUAUUUCAUGGAGAAUAACAUACAGUUUUGUGACAAUUUCAUGUAUUUUUUUAAUUCAACCUUUUUUAUCUAGACAAGUCAGUUAAGAACAAAUUCUUAUUUACAAUGACGGCCUAACCCGGCCAAACCUGGACAACACUGGGCCAAUUGUGCGCCACCCGAUGGGACUCCCAAUCACGGCCGGAUGUGAUACAGCCUGGAUUCGAACCAGGGACUGUAGUGACGCCUCUUGCACUGAGAUGCAGUGCCUUAGACCGCUGCCCCACUUGGGAGCCCUGGAUAAGCUCCUGUAGUUGUAUUUAAUAGGCCAUAUAUGUAAUAGGCUCUAUGUAAUAGGUAAUACCUCAUGUAUCAAUGACUUUGAAGUCUGCCAUGCAGCCAGGGUCUUUGUGCCAAUUUCAGAAUGUGGUAUGUGAAUGUUUUUUUCAUACGAGUGUCUUUAUGUAUUUGCACCUUGUAAUUAGCCAUUAUGUGCAUGCUAUGUCCUGACCAGUUGAAGAAUAAAGACUUUCUGAUGAA